RNAcentral lists this small RNA (2196 nucleotides) under Pongo abelii (Sumatran orangutan). Its description in RNAcentral is "retained intron". The record is from RNAcentral. Lineage: Eukaryota; Metazoa; Chordata; Mammalia; Primates; Hominidae.
CAUUUAUUAUGCACUUUAUUUCUAUUAUUAUUACAUUGUAAUAUAUCAUGAAAUAAUUACACAGCUCACCAUCAUGUAGAAUCCUCAUUAUGGUGGGAGCCCUCAGCUUGUCUUCCUGCAACUAGAUGGUCCCAUCUGGGGGUGAUGGGAGACAGUGACAGAUCAUCAGGCAUUAGAUUCUCAUAAGGAACAUGCAACCUAGAUCCCUCACAUGCGCAGUUCACAACAGGGUUUGUGCUCCUGUGAGAAUCUAGUGCCACCGCAGAUCUGAAAAGAGGUGGGGCUCAAGCAGCAAUGCUCACUAGCUCACUGCACCCCUCCUGACGGACACGAACUGGAACUGGUCCAGCCCGGGGGUUGGGGACCCCUGAUGUAAGGAAUAGUCAGAGGCUAACAUGCACACAGGCAUGGGAAAUGGACAGGACCUGCCCAGGCUGCAUGAGGGCUGGAUUGUACGUCCCUGGAAUGAUGUCCCACCCUCUCCUAUCGUGGUCUGCAGGUCUAGGGAACUCAGUCUCCUGGAAUGGGUCAGUGUAUCAUCAGUCAUCCUCCCUGUGUCUUUAACCAGUUUUAUUUCUGCUUGCAUUUUACUGAUGUUUUCUUCUUCUUCUUCUUCUUCUCCUUUUUUUUUUUUUUUUUGGUCAGAAAUUAUCCGGCAAGCUUUCAUUAACAUGGCCAAAAAACAUUUUGGCGAAUUUUUCAACCUUAACCAAACUGUUCAGGUAAGCACCCAGAGUUCACUUGCUAGUCACCUGGACCAUUGGCUGUUUAACCUUGAGAGAAGUUGGAUAUUCACUGUCAUUUGGAACCAUGAGGCCAGGGAUGCAAUGGCAGGCUGGUGGGGCUGGUGACUCCAGGAGCACCUGCCUGCCUGGCUUCUGCUCAGGAGGAGGCUUCACUCCGCAGGAGAAAUGAAAGGAGGCCCGUGCCCUGCCAUCUGUUCUGCACGACCUUACGCAGGACGUGGGGCUCCACCGAGGACUGGCUGAGCAAGAUUGAAGACAUAAAAGUGAAACACACAGAAAAGGCAGAAAACAUGAUCCAACUUCAGUUCAGAAUGGAGCAGAUGGUUUUUUGUCAAGAUCAGAUUUACAGUGUUAUUCUGAAGAAAGUCCGAGAAGAGAUUUUUAACCCUCUGGGGAAGCCUUCACAGAAUAUGAAGUUGAACUCUCAUUUUCCCAGUAAUGAGUCUUCAGUUUCCUCCUUUACUGAAAUAGGCAUCCACCUGAAUGCCUACUUCUCGGAAACCAGCAAACGUCUCGCCAACCAGAUCCCAUUUAUAAUUCAGUAUUUUAUGCUCCGAGAGAAUGGUGACUCCUUGCAGAAAGCCAUGAUGCAGAUAUUACAGGAAAAAAAUCGCUAUUCCUGGCUGCUUCAAGAGCAGAGUGAGACCACUACCAAGAGAAGAAUCCUUAAGGAGAGAAUUUACCGGCUCACUCAGGCACGGCACGCACUCUGUCAAUUCUCCGGCAAAGAGAUCCAUUGAAGGGCGUCGAUGCCUGUGGUUGUUUUCUUGUGCGUACUCAUUCAUUCUAAGGGGAGUCGGUGCAGUAUGCUGCUUCUGCUUUGGGUCCAGACUCUUCUGUCACUAUCUGUGUCCAUCUCUACUGUACUCCCUCAGCAUCAGAGCAUGCAUCAGGGGUCCACACAGGCUCAGCUCUCUCCACCACCCAGCUCUUCCCUGACCUUCACGAAGGGAUGGCUCUCCAGUCCUUGGGUCCUGUAGCACACAGUUACAGUGUCCUAAGAUACUGCUACCAUUCUUUGCUAAUUGGUGUUUGUAUUCCCUUCCCCCUACAAGAUUAUGAGACCCCAGAGGGGGAAGGUCUGGGUCAAAUUCUUCUUUUGUAUGUCCAGUCUCUUGCACAGCACCUGCAGCAUUGUAACUGCUUAAUAAAUGACAUGUCACUGAACGAAUGAGUGCUGUGGAAGUGAUGGAGAUACCUGAGGCUAUCGCUCAAGCCCAGGCCUUGGACAUUUAGUGACUGUUAGCUGGUCUCUUUCAGAUCCAGUGGCCAUGCCCCCAGCUUCCCAUGGUUCACUGUCAUUGUGUUUCCCAGCCUCUCCACUCCCCCGCCAGAAAGGAGCCUGAGUGAUUCUCUUUUCUUCUUGUUUCACUGAUUAUGAUGAGCUUCCAUUGCUCUGUUAUGUCUUGAAGAGGAAUUUAAUCAAGCAAAGAAACUUUUUAAAAAUGUA